This 642-nucleotide ribosomal RNA is filed under the name Helix borealis. RNAcentral describes it as "partial small subunit ribosomal RNA". Lineage: Eukaryota; Metazoa; Mollusca; Gastropoda; Stylommatophora; Helicidae. The record is from RNAcentral.
CCAAAAACGGUUAAUCCUUUAAAGACCAUUUGUUCUUGUGCCACCUUUAUAUAUUGUACAUCAUCAUGGAAUUUAUAGCUAAACCAGUUGAGAGAAUUUAUAAUCUAAGAAAUUAGGAAUAUGUUACCAAUCUCAUUAACGACUAUUAAAGUGCCAGCAGUCGCGGUCAUACUUUAGUUAAAAUAAAGCAAAUCAGGAUAUGUGUAAGUAAUCUAAUUACCUGUAGUGAAAUACGAUAAAACAUACUUUAAUACUUAAAAUUCAACCAAUACUGACAAACAAACAGGGAUUAGAUACCCCUUUAUGCAGUAAGUAAAUCACAUCCUGGGCACUACAAUUAACAAAUUAAAACCCAAUGAACAUGGCGGUAGUUUAAAUAUUUAGGGGAACUUACUAAGUAAAUGAUAACCACCAAGAAUAUGUACGUUAAGUUAAAUUUUACAUACCGUCGUCGUCAGAUAUUCUAAGAUAGAAUGUCAAAAUAUAGCAAUAAUAAAAGGACAGAUCAAGGUGUAGACUAUCUUUACGUUUAAGCGAGUUACAAUAUUUCUUUUUUUCGUAAACUAGUUUUUAUAGCUACUUAUAGUCGGACUUAAAAGUAAUAGUCAUAAAAAAUACAGUAUGAAUUCUUUUAAUCUGUGC